This 498-nucleotide ribosomal RNA is filed under the name uncultured bacterium. Its description in RNAcentral is "partial 16S ribosomal RNA". It matches the Rfam family "Bacterial small subunit ribosomal RNA", at positions 29 to 523 of the family's 1533-position model. The record is from RNAcentral.
AUUGAACGCUGGCGGCAUGCCUUACACAUGCAAGUCGACCGGUAACAGGUCUUCGGAUGCUGCCGAGUGGCGAACGGGUGAGUAAUACACGGGAACGGGCCUAGGAGUGGGGGAUAACUACCCGAAAGAGUGGCUAAUACCGCAUGAGAUCUACGGAUGCAAGCGGGGGAUCGCAAGACCGGAUGAGAUUAGAGCGGCCGAUGGCAGAGUAGGUAGUUGGUGGGAUAAAAGCUUACCAAGCCGACGAUCUGUAGCUGGUCUGAGAGGACGAUCAGCCACACUGGGACUGAGAAACGGCCCAGACUCCUACGGGAGGCAGCAGUGGGGAAUUUUGGACAAUGGGCGCAAGCCUGAUCCAGCAAUGCCGCGUGCAGGAUGAAGGCCUUCGGGUUGUAAACUGCUUUUGUACGGAACGAAAAGCCCCGGGUUAAUACCCUGGGGUCAUGACGGUACCGUAAGAAUAAGCACCGGCUAACUACGUGCCAGCAGCCGCAGUAA